Small nucleolar RNA from Ornithorhynchus anatinus (platypus), 138 nucleotides. NCBI's taxonomy places the organism in Eukaryota, Metazoa, Chordata, Mammalia, Monotremata, Ornithorhynchidae. The record is from RefSeq and is a predicted model, not a curated record.
CUCCUCUCAGGGUCGCACCUGGAGAGUUUCCAGUACUCUACCAGUUUCGGCCUCGGGAGGGAGAGUCAAGCAGAGACCUACCCAUUCCAUUCCUAGCUUGAGCAGUGGCUAGCGAAUGGAAGGCAAUAUGCCUCAAGU